Bos indicus x Bos taurus (hybrid cattle) is the source of this 246-nucleotide long non-coding RNA. The record is from Ensembl. Lineage: Eukaryota; Metazoa; Chordata; Mammalia; Artiodactyla; Bovidae.
AUGGACCAAGUUGACAAAAUGGGUCUUGGCACAUCGACCCUAUCCUUGGGGCAGCUGUCUCUGGCUACCGUAUGUAAGCUUUUCCAGGAGACUGCCAACAAGCACAGCCAGCUCUCAAGCUGUAUUGCGCAAAGAUUUGCAGCCCACAAAGAUCGGGAGUUUUUCCCAAAGGACCUCUUAAGUGAGAAACUGAGAUCUCAAAAAGUUCACCAAGACCUCCAGGAUCCAUCAUCUUCCUCAUCCUGA